Long non-coding RNA from Melospiza melodia melodia, 656 nucleotides. RefSeq lists it as uncharacterized. The record is from RefSeq and is a predicted model, not a curated record. Lineage: Eukaryota; Metazoa; Chordata; Aves; Passeriformes; Passerellidae. The transcript is spliced from 3 exons.
AACUGGACUUGCUGCAGAUAUGGUAAACGCCCACCACUUCGUCCUUCCCCAUGAUCUGUGACAAGAAAAUGAAAGGAUGGAGAGAUGGAGAGCUACCAUGCAAUAGAGGUGAGGCUCGCCUUGCCAUGUGCAGAGCAUGCUCCUGGGGAAGAUUUUAGAACAACAAGCUGACCUUCUAAACACAUUCCUCAAAUAUUGUAUAGUCUUAUUGCCAGGAAGAGGACCUACAAGAAGAACAUUUUUUUCCCCACCAGUCUGAGAAGUCAUUACAGAAAGUGGGGCAAAGAAGCCCUUGGACCAACUCAUAGAGUUUGACCCAUGGCUGGGUUACUGCAGCGACUGAAUUUCCUUUUGGACGUACCUGUUAGACAUCCUAAUUAACCAACCUAUAAAAUUGUGAAAAUCAGUGCUGGGUAUGUAUGCCCCAUCACCACCAGAACACCUGGAAGCUUCCAAAACAGGAUCUGCUUUUUGCUUUACUCUUUUAACGCUAUUGCAAGGUUUAGGUUUUUUUUUUCUCUUUUGAUUAUACACAACAGCACAACAGAGCAAACAUUCUCCUAGAGCACCAGCACCUUGUCCUCUCAGCCCCACAGGUACAUUAAAAGCCAACUUCAGAAUGUUUUGCUAAGAGCAAGCUCAAGUUCUGCUGUCUA